UCUUCCUCCUCUCCCCUCCCACGGUCUCCUCUUCUCCAUUAUCUCUCUCUCGCCCCCAACCCAAGAUUGAUGAAAAAUCCCUCGAUCUCUUCCUAUAGAUUAUCUCUCUCCCCCAAUGAAAAAACAAAUGGAUUGUAUCUCUCAAACGGAAGGCAUGGAUUCCAUGGGCUCAUGGAGCUUUUUGCAUCAAUAUAAUUUUCCUCAUGUGUAUGAGAUUCGUUUUUCGUUUACUGUUGAAUCAACUGUGGCUUUUCCUUGGAUUCAGAUUUACUCUUUCGUGUCGUCUGAUAGUGUUGUGCUCUCCACAGAUUGGAUCUGAAUCAUCUCACGUACAGGUUUUGGAUGCCUCAUGGAGAUCAGAUCGGAGGACACCAACUAUACCCAUACUCCGUGAUCUUUUCCUCUUGAUUAUCUCUCUUUCCCCCAAUGUAAAACGAAUGGAUCAAAUAGAAGACAUGGAUUCCGUGUGGUCAAGGAGCUUUAUGCAUCAAAAUAAUUUUCCUCAUCUACAUCAGGUACAAUUUUGGAUUCCACACGGAGAUCAUGUCGGGGCAUACCAACUAUACCCCUGCUCAAGAAUCUCCCACUCUGUGUGAAGGUUAUCUCUGUAUAAGUUCAAAAUUAUGGCGUGAAACAUGGGGAUGCAAUUAAACUCAAUGGAGAAGGAAACCUGGAAAGGGAUGAACAGAGUAAUUAGUCCGUGUGAUGCCAUUAAUCUUGACAACAACGAUACUAGAUGAAGAGUUCAGUUAUUGGUAAAUUUUAUGAUCUGCAAACAGUACAUGGUACUAUGAUUUAUAUAGUACUAGCUAUUAUAAAUAUAGAGGCAUAUUCUCAGUGCAUUAUAUAACACUAUAUUGGCUAGCUUCAUGUGUAACUGUGUGAUGUUAUUAAUUUGUGCAAGUCUCAUUCAAUCCAAAAUUGGCUUGACCGCCAUUGCAGCUGGCCACCGUCAUGAUGGUGGGUUCAUAACGCUGCCGCUUCUUGGGUGGAACGUCGUCGCUUCACGGCUGGUCGAAAUGCAGCGCCAAUGCAAAGGCAGGUUUAGCCAGCCCUGAAGUUCUGCAUCUAUGCGUACAUGUGAUGGUUUUCUAGGGCGUCACGUACAUAAGUAUAUGGUUUCCAGGCAAGUCAAUUCAGUUCGUUUUGAGUAUCAAAAAUUAUUUCCCAGGCUAUUGUGGACACAGGUUAUUGUCUGCAACUACUCAUGUUACAGGCAAUGCUGCCAGAAAAUGUUCUAAUGUCAUGGACACUGUUCACUUGCAACUAUAGAAUUUAUGUCUAAGGACCUUAUCCACACAAGGAUACUAUUGAACCUUCUUUGACAGUUGGAGACUGAGAUCGAGCAGAACUAUGGCAACCAUGUCGUGUGGAAAAGGGCCCAUGAACUAGCAUGUCAUCGUGUCACCGUGUUAGACAAUACAUUGCGUAAUGCAUGAGAGGCUCAUAUUAGGCUUGGCCAUCUUCUCUUGAUUUUUUUUCAAUCAGAUUGUUGUACUAGGGAAUUUGCACUGAUUACAACUAAGGAUCGGCCUUCACCUCACUCUAUGCAUUGUAACAUUGUUAUUUAAUUUAGGUUAAAGUUAUGAUAAAUGCAUGCCCAAUUUAGAGAUGAGAUGACUACUUUAAGUUCGGUUCAAGAUUUAACAACAGUCAUAUUAUUAGCCCAUUAUUCCGAACAUAUGCAAAACUAAGAAAAUUAAUUCAUUGUAGUCAACAUCAAUACCCCUGCCGUACUCCCAAGUGGAUGCAAUCAGAUUUGGGCGUACCAACUUUAAGUGUAAAUCCGACAUAAAAAAAUAG
Molecule: long non-coding RNA, 1803 nt
Organism: Triticum aestivum (bread wheat)
Lineage: Eukaryota; Viridiplantae; Streptophyta; Magnoliopsida; Poales; Poaceae
Exons: 5
Source: RefSeq, a predicted model, not a curated record